UUUAGAUUCUGUCAUCGGGAGUUCCUUAUCCUUCCUCGCACCGGUGACACAACUUUGAUGAUUGACGGCUGGAAGACUCCUCCUAAAAAAGAUUCGGCUGCACCACUGAGAGCAUCUUGACUGGCUGUACCACUGAGAGCAUCUUGACUGGCUGCACCACUGAGAGCAUCUUGACUGGCUGCCCCACUGAGAACAUCUUGACUGGCUGCACCACUGAGAGCAUAUUGACUGGCUGCACCACUGAGAGCAUCUUGACUGGCUGCAUCACCGCUUGGUACGGCAACUGCAAGGCAACCGACCCGGAAGGUGCUACAGAAGGUGGUGAGCUCGGGCACCAGUACAUAAAACUCUUAACAACUCAUACCCCUUUUGAGAUGUUGGUCAGAUGGCGAGAAGCCAAACUGGUGAAACACGUCUCUCUCUCUCUGAAGUGGUUGAAUUUGUGUCUCAUAUGGAACUCAGAGUUCCUGCAGAUCCUUUGUUGCCACUGGUAACAUCACAAGGUCACUGAAUUCAGCAUGAAUACUCUGUUACCACGUGUGUGUUUACGUGGUGUGUUUAAAAAAGGAAUAUCCCCUCUGCCAGAAGAACAAUAAAACUGCUGACCAGAUAGACACCUUGGGAAUAUCCUCCCAUAAAAUUGGACAUCCUUGACAGCCCUUUAAAAAAAUAUAUAUAUCUGCCUGUCUUUGUUUAUAGACCCUUAUUGUUCUGUGUGUGUGAAGGAGACGUACCUCUACCAAGGCGUCAAAUCGGGUUAUGACCCUAAAGGUCCAGCCAUCUACAUAUCCUCUGUGGUGUGAGCAGGCAGGGUCAUUCCUCCUAUGAUCUCACUGUUCCCAGUUUAUUGGGGUCUCCUUUGACUAACCGCAGGGGCCACUGAAGUGUUUCGGUUCCAGCUAAGGGUGAAAUCCUAUCUUGUAAUUUGCUUUGUCAAACCAUAAAACUGAAUAAACACUGUAUGUCUUUAA
Molecule: long non-coding RNA, 971 nt
Organism: Oncorhynchus nerka (sockeye salmon)
Lineage: Eukaryota; Metazoa; Chordata; Actinopteri; Salmoniformes; Salmonidae
Exons: 2
Source: RefSeq, a predicted model, not a curated record